Molecule: ribosomal RNA, 1500 nt
Filed under: metagenome
Description: bacterial SSU rRNA
Rfam family: Bacterial small subunit ribosomal RNA
Source: RNAcentral
AGAGUUUGAUCAUGGCUCAGAUUGAACGCUGGCGGCAGGCCUAACACAUGCAAGUCGAACGGUAACAGGAAGCAGCUUGCUGCUUCGCUGACGAGUGGCGGACGGGUGAGUAAUGUCUGGGAAGCUGCCUGAUGGAGGGGGAUAACUACUGGAAACGGUAGCUAAUACCGCAUAAUGUCGCAAGACCAAAGAGGGGGACCUUCGGGCCUCUUGCCAUCGGAUGUGCCCAGAUGGGAUUAGCUUGUUGGUGGGGUAACGGCUCACCAAGGCGACGAUCCCUAGCUGGUCUGAGAGGAUGACCAGCCACACUGGAACUGAGACACGGUCCAGACUCCUACGGGAGGCAGCAGUGGGGAAUAUUGCACAAUGGGCGCAAGCCUGAUGCAGCCAUGCCGCGUGUAUGAAGAAGGCCUUCGGGUUGUAAAGUACUUUCAGCGGGGAGGAAGGGAGUAAAGUUAAUACCUUUGCUCAUUGACGUUACCCGCAGAAGAAGCACCGGCUAACUCCGUGCCAGCAGCCGCGGUAAUACGGAGGGUGCAAGCGUUAAUCGGAAUUACUGGGCGUAAAGCGCACGCAGGCGGUUUGUUAAGUCAGAUGUGAAAUCCCCGGGCUCAACCUGGGAACUGCAUCUGAUACUGGCAAGCUUGAGUCUCGUAGAGGGGGGUAGAAUUCCAGGUGUAGCGGUGAAAUGCGUAGAGAUCUGGAGGAAUACCGGUGGCGAAGGCGGCCCCCUGGACGAAGACUGACGCUCAGGUGCGAAAGCGUGGGGAGCAAACAGGAUUAGAUACCCUGGUAGUCCACGCCGUAAACGAUGUCGACUUGGAGGUUGUGCCCUUGAGGCGUGGCUUCCGGAGCUAACGCGUUAAGUCGACCGCCUGGGGAGUACGGCCGCAAGGUUAAAACUCAAAUGAAUUGACGGGGGCCCGCACAAGCGGUGGAGCAUGUGGUUUAAUUCGAUGCAACGCGAAGAACCUUACCUGGUCUUGACAUCCACGGAAGUUUUCAUAGAUGAGAAUGUGCCUUCGGGAACCGUGAGACAGGUGCUGCAUGGCUGUCGUCAGCUCGUGUUGUGAAAUGUUGGGUUAAGUCCCGCAACGAGCGCAACCCUUAUCCUUUGUUGCCAGCGGUCCGGCCGGGAACUCAAAGGAGACUGCCAGUGAUAAACUGGAGGAAGGUGGGGAUGACGUCAAGUCAUCAUGGCCCUUACGACCAGGGCUACACACGUGCUACAAUGGCGCAUACAAAGAGAAGCGACCUCGCGAGAGCAAGCGGACCUCAUAAAGUGCGUCGUAGUCCGGAUUGGAGUCUGCAACUCGACUCCAUGAAGUCGGAAUCGCUAGUAAUCGUGGAUCAGAAUGCCACGGUGAAUACGUUCCCGGGCCUUGUACACACCGCCCGUCACACCAUGGGAGUGGGUUGCAAAAGAAGUAGGUAGCUUAACCUUCGGGAGGGCGCUUACCACUUUGUGAUUCAUGACUGGGGUGAAGUCGUAACAAGGUA